GUUAUUCUCCGAACAAAUGGGAGCUCUGGCAAAGUCCUUAAAAACAGUCUUUGACUUUUUGCCAUUUUCUUCUUUACACAACCUGGUGCUCUUAUCCGCUACCUGUUGGUGGUUAACCAAUUUCAAACGUGUGCUUUCCAAUAUGUGAUGUUGUUAUCCAGCUUCAUGGGUGCGCUCUUUAUUCCUGAAAUAUUGUACAGGCUAUGGUAGUUCUUUUUAGGAAAGUGUGGAGGUCUAGUGGAUAGGGGUCUCUAGAGUUUUUCGUACUACUCACCAGGGGUUGGGUGAGG
This 290-nucleotide long non-coding RNA is filed under the name Nicotiana benthamiana. Its description in RNAcentral is "long non-coding RNA (NBEN_LNC016894)". Lineage: Eukaryota; Viridiplantae; Streptophyta; Magnoliopsida; Solanales; Solanaceae. The record is from RNAcentral.